GGAAACGGGGAUGGAGACAGAAGUUAAAAGAAAUAAUUAAAUAAGAAGAAAAAGCUAAAGAAAUUUGACUUGUGAGAAGUGAAAACACAGUCUGAGAUCCACCGUCUCCUCCAUCAAGCCGCUGCCUCCUUCCUUCGUAUUGCUGCCGCACGCCUCCCUCAACACCACCAACACUCUCCUCGAUCUCACCUUCUUUCGAUCUCUCCCCAAACUCUCUCAGGCAACGAAAUAGUACACCGCCGGCGACCAAACCCUCCAUGUUCCCUUAGCUCCGGUUUCUGUUUUUCCGGCAACCGGCGUUAGACAUCCUAACCAUUUCCGACUGUUUAAGGUCACCACAGUCUCGAUCUACCAUUGCAUAUGCUUUUCUCAACCCAUUUGUUGCGGCUAGGGUUUCAAGCAGCGAUGGAGCAGUUGUACUGUUAGCACGGUGGUUUCAAGUGUGUUUUGGCAUUUGCAGUGGAUUCCGGCAGAACCGUCAAGAGAUCCUCGGAUAUGUGUUAGUCAGUGGCCGGCAUGAUCUUUUAUUCUGGUCGUCAACAACUCAAUGGCAAAGGACAUCAUUGUAAUUUUAUAAGAAAGGGCAUCAUUGUAAUUUUCAUUUUAAGAUUAUAUAAAUAUGCCUUCAAAAUCUUGAUAGAAAA
This is a long non-coding RNA of Helianthus annuus (common sunflower), 644 nucleotides long. RefSeq lists it as uncharacterized. The record is from RefSeq and is a predicted model, not a curated record. The transcript is spliced from 2 exons. NCBI's taxonomy places the organism in Eukaryota, Viridiplantae, Streptophyta, Magnoliopsida, Asterales, Asteraceae.